RNAcentral lists this ribosomal RNA (342 nucleotides) under Triticum aestivum (bread wheat). Its description in RNAcentral is "partial small subunit ribosomal RNA". Lineage: Eukaryota; Viridiplantae; Streptophyta; Magnoliopsida; Poales; Poaceae. The record is from RNAcentral.
AUGCUGCAACGGUGCUCUACUCCGCCGGUGAGGAGAUGCAGAAAAGCUACAACCACCAAGCGGCGGUGCUGGAAUCGUGGUGUAGAAAAGCUGCAACCCCCAAGUCAAACAGUGGCAACGGCAAGGCUUUUCUUUUCUUUUGCUGCUGCCGGCGGCGAGGCGUUUUUGCUUGAGCCGGCACCUCAAAUGCACCCCGGCGUCGACUUUUGCUGGAACCAGCACCUGCGUUGGAGGGGCACGCGACGCCACCAGACUUGCUGGAACCGGCCGUCGGAAAACAGCGACGGAGGCGAGGGUGAGGUCCAGCUGACCUCCGAGAUGCUACAACCAUUCGUCGAAUAG